RNAcentral lists this ribosomal RNA (449 nucleotides) under uncultured prokaryote. Its description in RNAcentral is "bacterial SSU rRNA". It matches the Rfam family "Bacterial small subunit ribosomal RNA", at positions 355 to 796 of the family's 1533-position model. The record is from RNAcentral.
CUAAGAAUCUUCCGCAAUGGGCGCAAGCCUGACGGAGCGAUGCCGCGUGGAGGAGGAAGGCCGAGAGGUUGUAAACUCCUUUUCUGCGAGAGGAAUAACCGCCUGAGGGAAUGCGGGCGGGAUGACGGUAGCGCAGGAAUAAGCCCCGGCCAAUUACGUGCCAGCAGCCGCGGUAAUACGUAUGGGGCGAGCGUUGUUCGGAAUCAUUGGGCGUAAAGGGCGCGCAGGCGGCUGCGCAAGCCUGGUGUGAAAGACCACAGCUUAACUGUGGGAGCGCGCUGGGAACUGCGUAGCUAGAGUUCCGGAGGGGAAGCUGGAAUUCCAGGUGUAGGGGUGAAAUCUGUAGAUAUCUGGAAGAACAUCGGCGGCGAAGGCGAGCUUCUGGCCGUGAACUGACGCUGAGGCGCGAAAGCGUGGGGAGCGAACAGGAUUAGAUACCCCCGUAGUCC